Gossypium raimondii (Peruvian cotton) is the source of this 107-nucleotide non-coding RNA. NCBI's taxonomy places the organism in Eukaryota, Viridiplantae, Streptophyta, Magnoliopsida, Malvales, Malvaceae. The record is from Rfam.
AACCUAUGAUGAGGGCACCUUCUCAAUAAGUCCUUAUACAUCUCUCAUGCAUCAUAUAGCAUCUCUAAAUCAAUCUGAACAAAGUAAAAGAUAUCAUUCCUCAACUU